This 485-nucleotide ribosomal RNA is filed under the name uncultured Anaeroplasma sp. RNAcentral describes it as "partial 16S ribosomal RNA". The record is from RNAcentral. Lineage: Bacteria; Bacillati; Mycoplasmatota; Mollicutes; Anaeroplasmatales; Anaeroplasmataceae.
CACGUAGUUAGCCGGAGCUUAUUCCUCAGGUACCGUCAAAUUCCUCUUUCUUCCCUGAUAAAAGAACUUUACAUUACGAAUAACUUCUUCGUUCACGCGGCGUUGCUCGGUCAGGGUUCCCCCCAUUGCCGAAAAUUACCCUACCUGCUGCCUCCCGUAGGAGUAUGGACCGUUCUCAGUUCCAUUGUGGCCGUUCAACCUCUCAGUCCGGCUACGCAUCAUCGCCUUGGUAGGCCCUUACCCCACCAACUAGCUAAUGCGCCACAGGCCCCUCCUUAAGCAGAUCUCUCUUUUAAAUAUAAAAGAUUCUUCCUCUAUAUCCUAUCCAGUUUUAUCCAUCGUUUCCAAUGGCUAUCCUCGUCUUAAGGGUAGGUUACCUAUGUAUUACUCACCCGUUCGCCACUAAAGUACCCGAAGGUACUUCCGUUCGACUUGCAUGUAUUAGGCACGCCGCCAGCGUUAAUCCUGAGCCAGGAUCAAACUCU